UACAGAGGUCCCAAGCGUUGUUCGGAUUUACUGGGCGUAAAGGGUGCGUAGGUGGUUGGAUAAGUCUGAUGUGAGAUCUCCGAGCUUAACUCGGAAACGGCAUUGGAAACUAUUCGACUAGAGAGUUGGAGGGGGGACUGGAAUACUUGGUGUAGCAGUGAAAUGCGUAGAUAUCAAGUGGAACACCAGUGGCGAAGGCGAGUCCCUGGACAACUUCUGACACUGUGGCACGAAAGCUAGGGGAGCAAACAGG
RNAcentral lists this ribosomal RNA (253 nucleotides) under uncultured bacterium. Its description in RNAcentral is "partial 16S ribosomal RNA". It matches the Rfam family "Bacterial small subunit ribosomal RNA", at positions 524 to 776 of the family's 1533-position model. The record is from RNAcentral.